RNAcentral lists this non-coding RNA (27 nucleotides) under Drosophila melanogaster (fruit fly). The record is from RNAcentral. Lineage: Eukaryota; Metazoa; Arthropoda; Insecta; Diptera; Drosophilidae.
UAUACCGUUACCUUCACCACCUGGCGA